AUUGAACGCUGGCGGCAUGCCUUACACUCGCAAGUCGAACGGGGGUAGCAAUACCCUAGUGGUGAACGGGUGAGUAAAGCAUCGGAACGUACCCAGUCGUGGGGGAUAACGUAGCGAAAGUUACGCUAAUACCGCAUACGAUCUGAGGAUGAAAGCAGGGGACUCGCAAGAGCCUUGCGCGAUUGGAGCGGCCGAUGUCGGAUUAGCUAGUUGGUGAGGUAAAAGCUCACCAAGGCGACGAUCCGUAGCUGGUCUGAGAGGAUGAUCAGCCACACUGGGACUGAGACACGGCCCAGACUCCUACGGGAGGCAGCAGUGGGGAAUUUUGGACAAUGGGGGAAACCCUGAUCCAGCCAUGCCGCGUGAGUGAAGAAGGCCUUCGGGUUGUAAAGCUCUUUCAGACGGAAAGAAAUGGUCUUGGCUAAUACCCGAGAUCGAUGACGGUACCGUAAGAAGAAGCACCGGCUAACUACGUGCCAGCAGCCGCCGUAA
RNAcentral lists this ribosomal RNA (492 nucleotides) under uncultured bacterium. Its description in RNAcentral is "partial 16S ribosomal RNA". It matches the Rfam family "Bacterial small subunit ribosomal RNA", at positions 30 to 523 of the family's 1533-position model. The record is from RNAcentral.